Molecule: RNA transcript, 4785 nt
Organism: Alligator sinensis (Chinese alligator)
Lineage: Eukaryota; Metazoa; Chordata; Crocodylia; Alligatoridae
Gene: PPP1R2
Gene name: protein phosphatase 1 regulatory inhibitor subunit 2
Exons: 7
Source: RefSeq, a predicted model, not a curated record
GUACAGGCCAACUUGUUCAGAGGCGCGAGGUUUUGGAGGUCACAGCUUCCCUCGCCGGGUGUUGCCUCCCCCAGAACAGGCUGUAGCCCAUGCCGGUCUGAAGGGGUUUGUGUGUAAGGCGUCACGCUGCCUUGCCGCCCGUCUCGCCCCUUGGUGGGAAGCGUCCGACGUACUUGGCAGGUCCAGACGCCGCGUUACUAUUUGGUGGUAAAAAGUCCCAGAAGUGGGAUGAAAUGAACAUCCUAGCUACGUACCACCCAGCAGGGAAAGAUUAUGGCUUAAUGAAAAUAGAUGAGCCAAGCACUCCUUAUCACAGUAUGGUGGGAGAGGAUGAUGAAGAUGCAGUGAGUGAUUCAGAAUCAAAUGAACCCUUAACAGCAGAUUUGCUGGCCGAGAAGUUGGCAGCUGCAGCUGAAGGUAAGGGCCCAAAGAUUCUAGCUAAGCAAGAAGAAAGCAGUGAGGAGGAGGAGGAAGAGGAGGAGGAGGAAGAUUUAACACCUGAAGAACGAGAAAAAAGAAAGCAGUUUGAAAUGAAGAGAAAAAUGCAUUAUAACGAAGGACGAAAUAUCAAACUGGCCAGGCAGCUAAUUGCAAAAGAACUACACGGUGAAGAAGAGGAUGAAGAUGAUGAAGAUCAGGAUGAGGAGAUGCAUGAUGCUGCUGAUGUAGAAAACAUGAGUACAGAAACACCUGAACCCGGGGAAAGAAGGGCUCCAGUAGGCAUCUUUAUGACCUUUCUCCAUGGCUUGAAGCUGCCUUCUUUCUGCACCCUGCUAUAAAGCAGGGAGGCAGCGCCGCUCCCCAGCUGCGUUCUUCACUGAAAAGAAGGGCACACCUUUGCAGCAUUUUUCCAUCUCUGCUGUUGAAGUCAUUCCAUCCUACUUCAUAAUCCGACUUCUGAGCUACACUGCACAUGCUACUAGUGACCAGCUGGGGAAUAGAGCACACAACGUAGAAGAAAUCUGUCCAGAACUGUAACUGCUUGUGAAAGACACAAACUUAAACACACUGCUUCAUGGUUUUUGCAAUUAUGGCUCUUAAAUGCUGAGAAGCAUAUCAGUUACACUAUUGUAUUGCCAAGAAUGUUAAUAACCCUAGACUCAUUUUAGGCACAAAAACUGCCUAACUGGUUUAUUCUUGUGCCUAGUAUUUCAUGGAGAAUACUGCGUCGGCAUCCAUCAACCCAGAAUGGCAUUGCUAUAUACGACACUGAGUAACUUGUGUAACAUACUGUCACUCGUCAUGCUUUAAAAUACACAAAGCAGUAUCUUUGGUUUUGUUCGCUAUUUAUUUGACAGUACUCUAGAUGUGAUAUCUUGUGGAAGCGUUUGGAGUUCGAGCCAAAGUGUACAGCAAAUACCAGGUUGACAUUGUAUUAAUUUACUUAUAUGAUAAAUUUAGCACUGAAAAGGGAUUAUUUUAGUAUUGUAACUCUUCUUUUUCUCUAGAUUUUUUUGACCUAUUCAUACAGAUUUGAGUUAUGCCAUGACUCCUGUUUUUCCCAAUCUUUGUAACAGAAGAGCUGAAUUAUUUUUGUGGUUUCAAAAUGCUGCGUUUGAAAUCCAUUAUUAGUUUCUGAUUGAGACUGCACUGACUUCUGGUGGGGUAUUUUUACACUAGAGAUGUGCUAACUUGAAUUCUAUACCCGGUUGUUAUCCCUCUCUUCCAGGAGGGCUAGAUUGGUUUUAGAGCUUUCCUUAUUUACCUGUCUUGUCAGAACUUGAGUCUUUACAGCUCUUCAGACCAUGCUACCAAACAUUACUCUCCACCGAUUCCCUUAAGAUGUGGCUCAAAACCCUCUCUGCCUUCCCUGUUGCUAUGCUGUGUACUUGUGCUGUUACCAUCUGAGAAGAAGUAGCUGUCUGAGUAAAUCCACAUCAGGGCAGUGGAGAUGGGGAAUGAUACGUGCUUGUGUGGCAUCAGUUCUUCAUGCCACCCAGGUGACUACUGGUGACCUCGUCACUCUUGGGGUUCGUAACCCAGGCCGUGAAAACCACUGGCUUGUGUCUCCCAAUCCAGUACAAGUUGCAGUAGCUGAUUCUGUAAAAUGAAGGCUCUUGGGAGGAAUAGCUGGGAGGCUGCCGUGUAACUUGACAUACUGUUUACAGGGUGGUUGAUAGCCCUGAUGGAGAGACAUCACUGAACCUCCAGAGUACUGUAAACAACAUCCCACUCGAAGGAUUUUGACUAUGGUGAAUGUUCUAGUAUUCAAGGUAGUACUUGGUUUUAUAAUACGGAUGAAGUAUACUUAAAGCUAUGGCUUAGUUUUGGAAUACUUUGUAUUCUGUUAUGUCUAUUUCUCUUAGUUUUGAUCUAAACUUGAGAUGUUGCAAAAGUUCAUAUAAUUAUAUGGACUUGUUUUAAUGACUUUCUGUCUACUGUACAUGUGAAGUUUGAAUAAAAGAAUGAAAGUUAUUUUACAGUUACUUGGAUUCUCAUGUGUGAGCUUUCCUGAAACUUAGGGUGUGUAGAAUGAAUGAAGGGCAGGCACACUUGUCACUGGGAAGCUGUGGUACUUCUGUGGGAUAUUGCAGUAGACAAGGAUCUGUAUGUGAGCUGUGCCAAAUGGGUGUAAUUGUGUGUUUUCUAGCAUCCCUAAUCGAUGCUUUACUAAGCUAUGUGUUGCCAGAUCUUGUGACAUUUCUGGUGGUGUUUUCCUUAAAGUCCAACUCUUGGGUGAAUAGCUUCAGGGAAGGGAGAUGUGAGAAUCUGUUUUCCUCUAGACCUCAUGGUUGCAGAGGAUGUAUUGGACAGUAAGGUUUCAAAUCAGAAGGCAAGCAGAACCUCAUGGCCAUGAGUUGAGGGAUAACAAAAGAGGCUGACUUGAUUUAUGAGGGUUUGGGGUCAGCAGAGAGCUUCUCAGAUCUGUUUUUGUUGCUUGAAAUGGUGGUUGUGCAAGACCCCAAUUGAAAGGUCUCUUCUACUUUAAUAAUAUAAUAAUAAAAAAAUACAGCUUGAUAAGUGUUGCUUUGGGUCGGAUCCUGAGAUGCUGAGGCUCCUGCUGGACGUGAGGCGAUAGAUUUGUUGCUUACAGAGGUUGUCACGUAUUCCAUGGGAUUAGGUCCUUUCCAAUUUCUCUUGACACAUGAGAGUUUCUAAUGUGUGUGUGUGUGUGUGCAUGUGUGGGGAUGACGACAAUGUGUGCUGGAUUUUUUUAUGCUGUGUGUGGUUUCUUCCUUUCAUUCGGCAGUUCUUUUUAGAUGCCUUUUACCUCAUGCACUGCCAUGGCCCAAGUAAGAGCCAGAUGUGUAUUCUUCCUAAAAUGUCACCAAGUGGUAGAGCUGGCUUGCUAGAUUUAGAGACUUGUCAUAGACAGAUCCGGGUGCCAGUACUUGUUUGACUUUGCAUAGUUCAUUUUUCAGUGUUGACUCUAUUAAGCAUUGUAAACCCAUUCUUUCCAAUACUGCGUGUGCCAUCUGUCAGUUGAGGACAAACAUAGCACACGCUGUGUAGUAGAGAUGGCAGUUUAAUACUUUUAGGUUCUGAACCUACGUAUAUUGAUUGUCCAGGGUCUCGUUUUCCUCUAAGGUCCUAUGGAGAAGCUGCUGUUUGUGUCCUUGGGGACUUAAAAUAACCCCAAAACAAAAACAUUAAAAAAAAAAAGAAGGGCCUCUCUCCCCUCUGUGGCAAGUCCACGGACCUUUGCAUGACGUGGACACGUGCUUUUGGGAAUGUCAUGUGCAUGCCCCAGCUUUUAACCGUGAGCAGCUGGUCUGGGGUGUACAAGUCCUGUGAUUUGGACUAAGACCUGUUGUGGAGCUCUUCCUGGUGGAGGUAGUAUUGUAGUUCAGCUAUACUAAUAUUAGUUUGAAGCAUGGGUUUUUGCUAGACUAUCAUCUUAAUGUCCAAAUCAUCUUAAUGUUGUUAUAGAAAAAAUUCUGUAUGGCAUUUUGUGGGUUGUGAGGCUUGCAGUCUGUUUUUUGUAGUUGCUUCAUCAUUUCACUCAUUUUGGGGACGACUUGAUGUCUUUUUUUAAAAUGUGUUUUUUAAAUUGUUUCAAUCUGGAGAGUGGGGUUAUCUGGCUUUAGCCAUGCUUCCCUUUUAUUUUUUUAAAAACUUACAGAGGUAAGUGUUUCUGAACUUCUACGUAUUACAGGAGGGAGUGUGGCUGGAAGGAAAGCUAUUGAAGACCUCUGCCCUCCUUUUAUAACUACUUUCCAAAACAGCCUUCCUUUUCUGGCGUGGAGAGAGAGAGAAAUCUUCCCGCAGGAAGAAAACAAGAUCCCCCGUGUGUUUUUUAACAUCGCGGUGUUUGGGCAGGAGCCCAGGUAAUACAGCAACAUGUGGUGUAAAAACAGACCCUGUCACCACCUCUUACUAAUUUGAAAAUUGAGUUCUGUUACUUGUCUGUAAUGAAGUUUUUGCAUGGAAAUAUUUUUCUAAACUUGAAGUCCUUUGUAAAAGAACAAAAACAAAACAACGUUGUCAGUCGCUUGGAAAUAGCUUCUGUAAAUUUUAUAUUGGACAGUGUCAUUUGCACAUAGUAUUAACAUGUUUCCUUAAAGAACUUUCUUUUGACUUGCGCGCCCUGCCCGUCGCCUUGCUCCGCGUGUGCUAGCGAUAAGCCAUCGACAUGUUUUUUCACAGCCCGAUCCCCUUGUGAAAGAGCUUGGUCUUUGUGCAAGUUUUCUUUCUCCAAUACUUUCCUUCUUUUAACCUGUUUCAUAGUAGGCGUUUUACAACACACUGAAUAAUUUCACAUAGUAAUCGCUUUCCCUCCUUUUGAAACCAGUCCUGAAAGUGUGAUGCAAAGCAAAUAAAAUUGUGCUGUUCCCUGCUCCUGUG